ACAAGUACCGUGAGGGAAAGUUGCAAAGCACUUUGAAGAGAGAGUUAAACAGGACGUGAAACCGAUGAGGUGGGAACGGACAGAGUCGGCGUAUCUAGCCUGUAUUCAACUGGAGACCCAAGCACAUUGGGUAGGCCUUUUCCAGAUUGGACUGGUGAUCCAACUGUGUCGGGGUCUACAGUGCAUUUGCAAGUGGAGUGCGCUGAGGUGGUCGGGUUAGCUGCGUGAUCUCGGGUUUGAGGCCAGCCCCUCGGGGUAUGGUACCCGGCUCGGGGGAGUGCUGUUUAGCCUGUUCAACUUGUAUGGAAAUGGUAUCGGGUCCGGCUGGUAUCCAGCUAGCAACUGGUGGCGGUCGCAUGCGACACGUACUAGUGGUUGGUUGGGUCCUGGUCUGGCUCCCAUGUUUUCCAAUCCUCGGUGUAAAAACCGGUCAUCUGUCCGACCCGUCUUGAAACACGGACCAAGGAGUUUAGCGUGUGCGCGAGUCAUUGGGUGUUGGAAACUCAAAGGCGCAAUGAAAGUGAAGGUCUCUCUUGUGGAGCUGAUGUGUGACCCGGAUCACCGAGGUGGCCCGGAGCAACAUGGUCCCGUCCUGAUCGCUUGCGAUGGGGCGGAGACAGAGCGUACGCGCUGAGACCCGAAAGAUGGUGAACUAUUCCUGAGCAGGACGAAGCCAGAGGAAACUCUGGUGGAAGUCCGAAGCGAUUCUGACGUGCAAAUCGAUCGUCUGACUUGGGUAUAGGGGCGAAAGACUAAUCGAACCAUCUAGUAGCUGGUUCCUUCCGA
This 786-nucleotide ribosomal RNA is filed under the name Rotylenchulus reniformis. Its description in RNAcentral is "eukaryotic LSU rRNA". It matches the Rfam family "Eukaryotic large subunit ribosomal RNA", at positions 344 to 964 of the family's 3401-position model. Lineage: Eukaryota; Metazoa; Nematoda; Chromadorea; Rhabditida; Hoplolaimidae. The record is from RNAcentral.